GCCAGCAGCCAUAUCACUCUGCAACUCACAACUGGCAACCCACUGAAGCUAAGCAGGUGUGAGCCUGGUCAGUACCUGGAUGGGAGACCUCCUGGGAAAAUCUAAGGUUGCUGCUGGAA
Molecule: ribosomal RNA, 119 nt
Organism: Lepisosteus oculatus (spotted gar)
Lineage: Eukaryota; Metazoa; Chordata; Actinopteri; Semionotiformes; Lepisosteidae
Source: Ensembl